Molecule: ribosomal RNA, 429 nt
Filed under: Gemmatimonadota bacterium
Lineage: Bacteria; Pseudomonadati; Gemmatimonadota
Description: Gemmatimonadetes bacterium partial 16S ribosomal RNA
Rfam family: Bacterial small subunit ribosomal RNA
Source: RNAcentral
UAGGGAAUCUUCGGCAAUGGACGAAAGUCUGACCGAGCAACGCCGCGUGAGUGAAGAAGGUUUUCGGAUCGUAAAACUCUGUUGUUAGAGAAGAACAAGGACGUUAGUAACUGAACGUCCCCUGACGGUAUCUAACCAGAAAGCCACGGCUAACUACGUGCCAGCAGCCGCGGUAAUACGUAGGUGGCAAGCGUUGUCCGGAUUUAUUGGGCGUAAAGCGAGCGCAGGCGGUUUCUUAAGUCUGAUGUGAAAGCCCCCGGCUCAACCGGGGAGGGUCAUUGGAAACUGGGAGACUUGAGUGCAGAAGAGGAGAGUGGAAUUCCAUGUGUAGCGGUGAAAUGCGUGGAUAUAUGGAGGAACACCAGUGGCGAAGGCGGCUCUCUGGUCUGUAACUGACGCUGAGGAUCGAAAGCGUGGGGAGCAAACAGG